CUCUGGUUCAGCAAAUGUAUCAGGGCAAAGGAG
This is a non-coding RNA of Carnobacterium funditum DSM 5970, 33 nucleotides long. Lineage: Bacteria; Bacillati; Bacillota; Bacilli; Lactobacillales; Carnobacteriaceae. The record is from Rfam.